UGAAAACAAAAUCACUUCAACAAAUAAAGGUGCACCACAUGCUGACAUCUUUAUCUUGUACUCCAGUAAUUCACAAGAGUACCACAUUGUGACCAUAUAUAUAUAUAAGAGUACCAUUUCUAUAGGGAAUACAUCCGAAACGUAUACAAGAAUACCAUUUUAGUUCACAAAUUCACAUAGCUAAACAAAACAACUUUACCACAGACCACUUGAUGAGCCCUUACUCUCCUCAUGGCAAGCACAAAAGCACACACCUACAUGACAAAAUCAAGGAUUAGAACAGCUGAUUAUUUUGAUAUCAGCUGAUAACACUGCUAAAACAUGCAAAAAAGUGAAACUUAACUAUGUCUGCAACUAGCUCUAAUAGGCAUCUGAUGCUACAUGCAGCAGUGACAUAAAUUUUUAAAUGGCAAGAACUUGCACACGAGUAUUACACUUUUUUUCGAAACGGAGGCAAAGAUUGCCUCGUCUAUUAAUUAAGCAGAAGAGAAUUGCCCAGUUAAUUACGGAAAACCGGGCAAAAACCGGAACAACAAGGGCCAAGCCCACUCCCAAAGACUGAAACACACAGGGCAAAGCCCACCCUAAUCGACAACAUGUCGACCUACAGCCAGACAACGCAGCUCCGACUCAGACGGAGAACUCAGAAGAACAGAACCAGACACGGCUGGCGCCACGAGUAUUACACUUGGUACAUAGAUAACCAAGAAAGUAGCAGUCAUUGUUCAGUGUGCCAAGUACGAACACUUUGUUGCUCACCCUCCAUGGCAUUGUUCUCUUACUAAGAAUCUAAACAGUGUUGAUGUCCAUGUGCAAAAAAAAUGUGUUUUGAUGUCGUAUUUACCUAUAACAUUUGUUAAACGACAAAGAAAGCCUAUCUUUUGACUGAAGAAACUCAAUCAUGCUGAAAUGGCAGUAAAACAAUUACCUAAGCUGGGUCAAACAAAAAGUUUUUAUAUUAGUCACAUGUUCCCAAAUUGUUUCGAAUCUACAAAAUGAUGUGAGCCAGCAAUGCAUGGUUCUAGUCGUUCCCAAAGAUUUUUUUGGGUGGACGCUAAUGCACAGUAAAUCUUUGCUUAACAUAAAUGGUCAGUAACUUAGUUUAUUAUACUGAAAAAACUAUUUUGGAGUCAUCGAACUUUUCUAAGUCCAGCUGCUGUGAAGUGAGAACAACUACAUAGAUUUCUAGUACUCAGUUGUCCCAGUCUGACAUAGAAUUCUACUGGGAUUUCUGAUAGUCAAAAUAUUCUUGGGGUUCAUCUGGCCGGCUGGACUAAUAAUGCACUUGGUCUGAACUUGUGCUAGGCUGUGCAUGUGGUUUCCAACUCCCAUAUGUAAGAAACAUUCUAUGACACUCUAUAAGAUAGAUUAUGUUUAUAAUUCAGCUAGACAUGUUAGGAGAGAAAGCAACAGCCAACAUUUAAGGAACACUAGAUUUCAUGAUUUGCGAGAUGCUGUAAGAGAGUGACUCAACGAGAACUUGGUCCAUGUAGCAAGCAAUCUUCUGAUUAUGCCAGGAUUAAAAAUAUACUGUUGCAUAUAUAUGCUCCAAACUAACUUUACUAUCUGCUAAGAUUGCAUUGCGGGACAUGGAAUUUUUCAUAACUACAAUUAACAUUAGAUAUAGCUUUACUUGCAUAAUUUUUUCACUUCUUUCAUUGUUGGCAUACAACUGCAACAGUUGGCUUUCAGUUCAUAAUUUUAGCCACAUCAUGGCAGACUUCCAACCAUUAUGGGCUACAUUGUAGAGAUCAAUACACGGCACUAUGAAAUUAGAGGAUGAACUAACCAAAUGCAGCACGCCUCCACGGCUCCACAGAUAUGUGUUGCACUUCCGGAGGAAAGGGCAGCGGACAAGCACGGACUACAACUCAGGCCUGGUUCAAAAUCUUACCUGUUCGUCUUUGAAGAGAGUCUCCGGCUCCCGGGACACGGUCAGCUUCAGCGGCGGCGCGGACAGAUCCGUCUCGGCUCCCAUGAAACUUAACGGAUCUGGGCGAAGGAAUCGACACGCGUGCGAGAGCCUAUAGGCUGUGCUGGAUUUGUGCUAGCAACAGUAGAUGGGGCAUGCCAUGGUGGCCUGCCGGCGGCGGCAGGAGAGAUGCCCUAGGUGGAGGAGCUGUGAAUCGAACUAGACCAUGAUGGCGCGCGUUGCCGCCCCGUCUAUUUUGUAUGUAGAACUAGUGGCUGGGGCGUGCCAUUGGCACGCCUCCUGAGCGUUCAUGUGCGUACUUAUCUAGCUUGCACACGUCCACGGGUCUUGAUCCUUGAUGGCGCUUAUAUACAGCAAAAGUGAUUUGCAAACAUGCGAAUAUGCCAUCUUUACUGACUUUAACCCAUAACCAAUGGUAAACAUGAAUGCUAAAUAGAAUAUGUACCUUGCCAUAAGCUAUACAAAUGAACAACCAGUACAAAGUUCAGCAAUGAACCCAAAUAACUGAAUCAAAGGGUCAUGUUAUACAAAAAAGAAUAAUGUGAGCUGAUGCAACAUAAAUAUUUCAAACAUAAAUGUAGAGAUUUUUAAUAAGAAAGCUUUGACUGUCUAUUUACAGGAAGGUCUAAGAUACUUUUAAUAAGGCCCUGACCGGUUUAGUUGUAACACUCACCAGUAGAAGAAAUACAUAAAUGAAUUUGACCAUGAGCUGAAGGCAAUAUAUACAUAAAUGGUCUAAAUCAUGUAUAUGUAAGGAAGGUAAAUACUAAAAAAAAAUUAGUAAUCCAUCAUCUGAAGUGGGUUACUGCAUAAAAAUAUAUCUUUCAAAAAAUCUUUGAUCAAAAGUUGGCCCUCUUAAUUUGAUACAGGAUAAGAAGGCCACUUUGCAGAUAAUAUUGGUACCAAUUCUGUAAAAGUUUCUCUCUCUCUCUGCAUCAAAUGCUCAUGAAUCAUGGAUGGAAGGCAUAACACUCGAAUAGUAAGGUCAUUAUGGAAGUAAAUGCCAUACCGCAAUACCUGUAGAUGAGUUGCAAUAUUUUCCCUUCUGAGUUUCUCCACGUUCAUAAGCUCCAGUAUCCUUUUAGCCUUUAGGUACAGCCUCUGCAACCAACAGUAAGAGAAAGGACGCAGCAUCUUGUACACACUACUAAGCAGAUCAUAGGACUUAGUUAAGAAAUGCAUUCUCAGAUCCUUGUUAACAUCACAAAAUGUACAAUGUCCCCAAUUCUAUUCACUAUGAAAAUAACAGCAAUACAGUGCCAGCAAAGCUAACUGAAGGUUUACACAUGACUAAUAUCUCAUACAGUAAAUGCAUGUGCUCAAAUGAAAUUUAAUGGAGUAAAACUCCAAGAAGAUGUACAAAAUAAAACUAAGAGGGCAUGCAAAAUUACUUGCCAUGUUUAAUUAGUCACUAUAGCUAUACUCUCCAGCAUUUGCUUCAAGAAACUAUUUUUCAAGCCUCACAAUAUAUUUUGUUGAGUAAGAAAAUCCAGUUCAGUGAACACGUGUAUCGCUUCCAGCUGCAUUGUUAAGGCAUGAAUAUAUUCUGAACAUAACAAUGCAAUGUGGAGCAAAAAUAUAUAACCAUCUACUACCAUGAGAUCAUGUAAUGGUUCCUUGCAAAAAAAAUCAUGUAUUGGUUAGUCUUUCUCUGAAGCUCGGACUGGUAAUACUAAAUGUAUGCAUCUCAUAUAGGUUCAGAAAUACUCCCUCUGUGCCAUUAUAUAAGAUCAUUUUUGACACUAUAAUAGUGUUAAAA
RNAcentral lists this long non-coding RNA (3692 nucleotides) under Triticum aestivum (bread wheat). RNAcentral describes it as "long non-coding RNA (TAES_LNC011670)". Lineage: Eukaryota; Viridiplantae; Streptophyta; Magnoliopsida; Poales; Poaceae. The record is from RNAcentral.